This 472-nucleotide ribosomal RNA is filed under the name uncultured bacterium. Its description in RNAcentral is "bacterial SSU rRNA". It matches the Rfam family "Bacterial small subunit ribosomal RNA", at positions 15 to 518 of the family's 1533-position model. The record is from RNAcentral.
GAUUAUGGCUCAGAACGAACGCUGGCGGCAGGUCUUAGGCAUGCAAGUCGAACGGAUGACAGAGAGCUUGCUCUCUGAAGUCAGUGGCGCACGAGUGAGUAACGCGUGGGAAACUGCCCUUCACUGGGGAAUAACGUUUGGAAACGAACGCUAAUACCGCAUACGCCCGCAAGGGGAAAGAUUUAUCGGUGAUGGAUGUGCCCGCGUUGGAUUAGCUAGUUGGUGGGGUAAUAGCCUACCAAGGCGAUGAUCCAUAGCUGGUCUGAGAGGACGAUCAGCCACGCUGGAACUGAGACACGGUCCAGACUCCUACGGGAGGCAGCAGCUAAGAAUAUUGGGCAAUGGAGGAAACUCUGACCCAAGCCAUGCCGCGUGAAUGAAGAAGGCCUUCGGGUUGUAAAGUUCUUUUAGUCAUGAAGAUGAUGACAGUAGUGACAGAAAAAGCACCGGCUAACUUCGUGCCAGCCGCCGC